Molecule: ribosomal RNA, 433 nt
Filed under: uncultured bacterium
Lineage: Bacteria
Description: partial 16S ribosomal RNA
Rfam family: Bacterial small subunit ribosomal RNA
Source: RNAcentral
AACGAACGCUGGCGGCAUGCCUAACACAUGCAAGUCGAACGAGACCUUCGGGUCUAGUGGCGCACGGGUGCGUAACGCGUGGGAAUCUGCCCUUCGGUUGGGAAUAACUGAGAGAAAUUUCAGCUAAUACCUUAUAAUGUCUUCGGACCAAAGAUUUAUCGCCGAGGGAUGAGCCCGCGUAGGAUUAGGUAGUUGGUGGGGUAAUGGCCUACCAAGCCGACGAUCCUUAGCUGGUCUGAGAGGAUGAUCAGCCACACUGGGACUGAGACACGGCCCAGACUCCUACGGGAGGCAGCAGUGGGGAAUAUUGGACAAUGGGCGAAAGGCUGAUCCAGCAAUGCCGGGUGAGUGAUGAAGGCCUUAGGGUUGUAAAGCUCUUUUACCCGGGAUGAUAAUGACAGUACCGGGAGAAUAAGCUCCGGCUAACUCCGUG